GACGAACGCUGGCGGCGUGCUUAACACAUGCAAGUCGAACGGAAAGGCCCUGCUUUUGUGGGGUGCUCGAGUGGCGAACGGGUGAGUAACACGUGAGUAACCUGCCCUUGACUUUGGGAUAACUUCAGGAAACUGGGGCUAAUACCGGAUAGGAGCUCCUGCUGCAUGGUGGGGGUUGGAAAGUUUCGGCGGUUGGGGAUGGACUCGCGGCUUAUCAGCUUGUUGGUGGGGUAGUGGCUUACCAAGGCUUUGACGGGUAGCCGGCCUGAGAGGGUGACCGGCCACCUUGGGACUGGGGUACGGCCCAGAAUCCUACGGGGGGCAGGAGUGGGGAAUUUUGCACAAUGGGCGGAAGCCUGAUGCAGCAACGCCGCGUGCGGGAUGGCGGCCUUCGGGUUGUAAACCGCUUUCGCCUGUGACGAAGCGUGAGUGACGGUAAUGGGUAAAGAAGCACCGGCUAACUACGUG
RNAcentral lists this ribosomal RNA (468 nucleotides) under uncultured bacterium. RNAcentral describes it as "partial 16S ribosomal RNA". It matches the Rfam family "Bacterial small subunit ribosomal RNA", at positions 28 to 507 of the family's 1533-position model. The record is from RNAcentral.